This 2388-nucleotide long non-coding RNA is filed under the name Fragaria vesca (wild strawberry). RNAcentral's name for it is "long non-coding RNA (FVES_LNC002298)". The record is from RNAcentral. Lineage: Eukaryota; Viridiplantae; Streptophyta; Magnoliopsida; Rosales; Rosaceae.
UGGUAUAUCCAUCACAGCCGCAAUUUCCAUCUUUGUCUUCUGCUCCUACAUGUGAGAUUUCCCCAUUUCCCAGGUUGGUCUCCUCCGGCUAUUGUUUUUAUUGUUCUACAUAUUUUUGGGUAAUACAUCAUGAUAUUGAUUGGGUCUGUUGUUUUGUUGAAAUUCAAGACCGAGAAUGCAAAGAAAAGCAAGGCGGCAAGGAGCAACUUAUAGCUAGAAACGAAGGAAAUGGAGGUAAUUGAUAUCUAAAGAGACACUGUCUAAUGGUGUUUGAUGUAAUCUGUCAAAUUGUCCUGAUAAUGAAUAGUUGGGAUGCAUAUGGAGUUGUGGGUGUGCAUGGUAUAUUUGGUUAUAUUGCAGAGAUGCAAUCUGUGGUAUGUCAAGCAUCGGUAUGCAGUGUAUGUAGUGAUUGUUGAUUCUGCAGUGGGCUGGCAAAAGUUUGUGCUUUUGUUUCAUUUCUUCUGGUUUAUUAGUUGUCCACUUCAUUUCCAGCUUGUUCCGAAUAGAGGGGAUUGAGGGAUAUUUAUGUACCUGUUUCUUUUAGGAUUAGUUCUAGACAAGAUGUCACUAGGACUCGAUUUAGCAGAUAUGCUUUCGAAAUAAUAUGGACCUAUAAUAAUGCGUAUUCCCUAGACCAUAGGUAAGUCUGUCAGUAGUUAAGUUGAGCAUGUAAUUAUUUCCAAAGCCAUUUUAAAGACUGGUAUAGUAUGGAGAUAGAGAUCUAUAUCUUUUGAUUAUAUGUGUGAUUUGUUGCUCCAACAAAUUAAUUGGAUGCCCUGUCUAUGAUGUUCUAGUAGUUGUGGACCAGUAGGUUUUGAACAAGUGAAGCAACACAGUACAACAACAACUAAUUAGCAAUUUUGUAGUUUCCAAUAUAUGAAACUUUGGAUUUAGUACAUUAUUAGGAAAAUAACUUAAGUCUAUGUCUUAUUUGUGGUAGGGCUCAAGUUUGAACAAUAACUAGUUCUUGUAAGGCAACGUUGUUCUACAUUUAAGCUCACCUUCAUGUAUGUGUCAAUAUCCGUAUCAGGAACAAUAACUGAGUUCGUAUCUUGAUAAGCAUCAUUGUUACAUUCUUAUAUUUAAUAGUAUAGAGACAUUUAUACAUGCUGAUUAAGAUCAUUUGUACAUUUCAGGUUAACACCUACAAUAUCUACCACAUGAGCUUCUUUUGUGGGAACGGGUGAUGCCUUGAAAGCACUAAGGAAAGCCAGGAAAGUGCAUAUAUUGGUUAUUCAUUGAGUUCUUGGAAGCUUUGUAAGACCGAGGCAUCACAGAAUAAGCAGUCUUUUGUUGGUGAUGGCCUUAAAAGCGACUCGAAAAAACUGAUACAACUUCAUAGCUGAUUCUUUGCCAAUUAGACUCUAUCAAACUGGUGAGAAGUAACAUAUCAAAUUUUUGUUUAUUUGAUAGCUCAGGUUGGACUUUCCACUGGUUUUUUGUAUUGUAGAUCAUUGGUUGAGUUCUUAUUUAUUAUUUUGUGCUUUUUCCUUCUAAAUUGAGUAGUAAAGUAACACAGGAGGUUUAGCGUAAGAGGUUUUAAUAUGUUGUUUAGCUUAGAGGACAUUUAGUAUUGCUUGUUAAUGCUUCUAUGAGCAAAAAAUACUUUUGUGGAUUUUCUCUGGAAGUUUGUGUUGAGUUGGCAUGGAAUCAUUAUGUCGUACUUGGGAAUGAUCAAAUUUUGGCUUUCAUCUGUUGUAGCUGGCAUUUACGCCAUUUCCCCCCAGCUUAUGAUCAGUGGGCUGGAUAUUGUAAUUUGGUUGAAUAGAACCUAUUUUUGAUGAACACCAAUUGAUUUAGUUGUCAUGCAAUCUUGAUUUGGUUGAGUAGAACCUAUUUUUGAUGAACACCAAUUGAUUUAGUUGGCAUGCAAUCUUGACCACAGACGAAGCAGUGCACCAUAAACAUUUAUAGUGUUAAGCAAAAAUGACAUGUAAGGCAAUACUGUUCUUUUGGGCUAAAGGAUUAGUGUCAAAUUCAUUCUGUCUCCCUAAAAUCUGUGAUUUGGCUAAAGAUACCUGAACCUUUAUUUACUGUAAAAUUCUGUAAAAUAUGGGUGGUUGAUGUAAUUUUCAUGUAGCACGGGGCAGCUGUGUUGUAUUGAAUUUCAGCAGGACUUAGUAACUCCUAUUGAUUUGAAAUUUUGUGACGUUGUACUUCCAGGUGUGUUGUUAAUCUGGAAAUUUUGUGUUAUUUGAUAUUUAGAAGGUGAUUUUCUUAAGCUCACAGUUCCGUGCUGAAAAACUCGUGUUAUAUGCGUUGCAGCUGUUUCCAUUAUGCAUUUCAUUAGGAUUUAUGAUUCCGUUUGACUUGAAAUUUUGUGUUUGGAAUUCCAUGUGUACUACUGAUCAGAUAUAUGUGCAUGUCUCAAACUAUAGACACCAGUGA